CUACUGACAAACACAAAGCUUGUUUGUGUGCAAAUAUAAGGCUAAAUAAAUGGUGCUAAAGUGUAUUAUGACUGUCAGAUAUAAUCAGGCAAACUUUUGUGGUGCUUAAAUUAAUUUUUUCAUUGAUUUAUUGAUCAAUGCAUUGAACAGUGUUUAUUAUUCACAAGUUGUCUUUUACUGGUAAAUCAGGCCUCAUAGCACAUUGUUAAAUAAAAUGGUUGACUAGUCUAUGUAACAGCUCACCAAGCUACUAUCUCUUUAACUCCUUAAUAAUGUUGCAUCAUUAAAGGUCAAGGGAUCAUAAUAUUAAUCUCAUUGCUGUAGACCAUUAACAUGACUGAACUUUUCCACAAAAUACUUAUGUUUACAAUGCUAUAACCCUUUGACUGCUGCGGCAACCUUUAACCCUGUAAAUGUCACAAGCUGGGAUCAUCAGCAUGGUUCUUGCCAUGGCAAUCAAAGAGUUAAGGGCUGUGCAGUGAUGUGUUUUGUGAAGGGUUAAAUGGCUUUUUAUACUAUUGCCUCUUCUGUGUUUGCCAUCAAUUCAUUGUGUUGUAAUUUAAAACAAAACUGUCAAUAAAUAAGAGAACAG
This 592-nucleotide long non-coding RNA is filed under the name Bos taurus (domestic cattle). RNAcentral's name for it is "long non-coding RNA NONBTAT006563". Lineage: Eukaryota; Metazoa; Chordata; Mammalia; Artiodactyla; Bovidae. The record is from RNAcentral.